CAGCUGGCAGUGGCAAUCCUCUCCGGUCCCCUUCCGGGCUGUGGGAGCUUUGUUCUUUUGCUCUUUGCAAUAAAUCUUGCUGCUGCUCGCUCUUUGGGUCCACAUUGCCUUUGUGAGCUGUAACACUCACGGCGAAGGUCUGCAGCUUCACUCCUAAAGCCAGAGAGACCACAAACCCACCGGGAGGAACGAACAACUCCAGACGCGCGGCCUUAAGAGCUGUAACACUCACCGCGAAAGUCUGCAGCUUCACUCCUAAAGCCAGCGAGACCACGAACCCACCAGGAGGAACGAACAAUUCCAGAUGCGCCGCCUUAGGAGCUGUAACACUCACCGCGAAGAUCUGCAGCUUCACUCCUGAGCCGGCGAGACCACGAACCCCACCAGAAGGAAGAAACUCCGGACACGCCGCCUUUAAGAACUAUAACACUCACGGCGAGGGUCCACGGCUUCAUUCUUGAAGUCAGUGAAACCAAGAACCCACCAAUUCCGGACACAGCAGGAUCCCACCCACAGAACCGCCAGGUGCACAGCUGCAUAUCCUCAGGGGAAAACUCCCCUCCCCUGCCACCUUACUGAUAGGCUUCACUUCCCAGAGAACUUUCCCAAUCCUGUGCAAUGCCUGAGUGGUACAUUGUAUUCUAUGAGAAUGGCGCCCCCGCCUCCAGAGUUGUGCAACAAGACUUCCAUGAAUCAAAGCCCAUCGCUGGCUGCCUCCUCUAGCCCUGCAUAGCCCAGGUACAUCUGAAAGGAGUGAGAAGUGUUUUGAGGGCUCUCCCUGUCUCUUCCUGCACCUCUCUCUUGUGAUCCCAGAAGCUACAACCUCAGCCCAGAUUAGCAGGCUGAGGGGUCAGGAGGCUGUCACUGGAGCUGUUGAGCUCAUGAACACGCCGAAGUUGCUGCGCUCCAGAAAUGUGGAAGUUGGAAUGAAGAGCCACCACUGCUGCCACCAACAUGAAGCUUGACCAAGCAAGCCAAGAAAAGAUGGCCAAGAGCCUCUGCCUUCCUUCUGCCUUCUGCAACGCAAUGGUGAGCUGCACAUCCACAACUUGAAGGGAGUCUGGGAAAUGCAGAGUUAAACUUUCUAGCCUCUCUAAGCUUUCAACUGUUACAGAAAGGCAACCCAGGAGGAGACUGGAAUAAAUGCUGAGUGCCAAUUUCCAA
This 1164-nucleotide long non-coding RNA is filed under the name Homo sapiens (human). RNAcentral describes it as "HSALNT0342468". Lineage: Eukaryota; Metazoa; Chordata; Mammalia; Primates; Hominidae. The record is from RNAcentral.